GACGAACGCUGGCGGCGUGCUUAACACAUGCAAGUCGAACGGAAAGGCCCUGCUUUUGUGGGGUGCUCGAGUGGCGAACGGGUGAGUAACACGUGAGUAACCUGCCCUUGACUUUGGGAUAACUUCAGGAAACUGGGGCUAAUACCGGAUAGGAGCUCCUGCUGCAUGGUGGGGGUUGGAAAGUUUCGGCGGUUGGGGAUGGACUCGCGGCUUAUCAGCUUGUUGGUGGGGUAGUGGCUUACCAAGGCUUUGACGGGUAGCCGGCCUGAGAGGGUGACCGGCCAAAUUGGGACUGUGAUAGGGCCCAGACUCCUACGGGAGGCAGCAGGGGGGAAUAUUGCACAAUGGGCGGAAGCCUGAUGCAGCAACGCCGCGUGCGGGAUGACGGCCUUCGGGUUGUAAACCGCUUUCGCCUGUGACGAAGCGUGAGUGACGGUAAUGGGUAAAGAAGCACCGGCUAACUACGUG
RNAcentral lists this ribosomal RNA (468 nucleotides) under uncultured bacterium. RNAcentral's name for it is "partial 16S ribosomal RNA". It matches the Rfam family "Bacterial small subunit ribosomal RNA", at positions 28 to 507 of the family's 1533-position model. The record is from RNAcentral.